CGGGACGGGUGAGUAACGCGUGGGUAACCUGCCUUGUACUGGGGGACGAACAGUUGGAAACGACUGCUAAUACCGCAUAAGCGCACAGCUUCGCAUGAAGCAGUGUGAAAAACUCCGGUGGUACAAGAUGGACCCGCGUCUGAUUAGCUGGUUGGUGAGGUAACGGCCCACCAAGGCAACGAUUAGUAGCCGGCCUGAGAGGGUGAACGGCCACAUUGGGACUGAGACACGGCCCAA
RNAcentral lists this ribosomal RNA (237 nucleotides) under uncultured bacterium. RNAcentral's name for it is "partial 16S ribosomal RNA". It matches the Rfam family "Bacterial small subunit ribosomal RNA", at positions 100 to 334 of the family's 1533-position model. The record is from RNAcentral.